This 554-nucleotide ribosomal RNA is filed under the name uncultured bacterium. Its description in RNAcentral is "bacterial SSU rRNA". It matches the Rfam family "Bacterial small subunit ribosomal RNA", at positions 214 to 783 of the family's 1533-position model. The record is from RNAcentral.
GGCGCCGAUGGAGAACUUCGCGGCCUAUCAGCUAGUUGGUGAGGUCACGGCUCACCAAGGCGACGACGGGUAGCUGGUCCGAGAGGAUGACCAGCCACAUUGGGACUGAGACACGGCCCAGACUCCUACGGGAGGCAGCAGUGGGGAAUAUUGCGCAAUGGGCGAAAGCCUGACGCAGCGACGCCGCGUGUGGGAUGACGGCCUUCGGGUUGUAAACCACUGUCGCGAGGGACGAAGAUCUGACGGUACCUCGAAAGGAAGCACCGGCUAACUCUGUGCCAGCAGCCGCGGUAAUACAGAGGGUGCGAGCGUUGUCCGGAAUCACUGGGCGUAAAGGGCGCGUAGGCGGCCUGGUUAGUAGGGGGUGAAAUCUCGCGGCUCAACUGCGAGGCUGCCUCCUAAACUGCCGGGCUCGAGCACAGUAGAGGCAGGUGGAAUUCCCGGUGUAGCGGUGGAAUGCGUAGAGAUCGGGAAGAACAUCGGUGGCGAAGGCGGCCUGCUGGGCUGUUACUGACGCUGAGGCGCGACAGCGUGGGGAGCAAACAGGAUUAGAU